GAGGAAUAUUGGUCAAUGGGCGAGAGCCUGAACCAGCCAAGUAGCGUGCAGGAAGACGGCCCUAUGGGUUGUAAACUGCUUUUGUAUGGGGAUAAAGUCAGUCACGUGUGAUUGUUUGCAGGUACCAUACGAAUAAGGACCGGCUAAUUCCGUGCCAGCAGCCGCGGUAAUACGGAAGGUCCGGGCGUUAUCCGGAUUUAUUGGGUUUAAAGGGAGUGUAGGCUGGAGAUUAAGUGUGUUGUGAAAUGUAGACGCUCAACGUCUGACUUGCAGCGCAUACUGGUUUCCUUGAGUACGCACAACGUUGGCGGAAUUCGUCGUGUAGCGGUGAAAUGCUUAGAUAUGACGAAGAACUCCGAUUGCGAAGGCAGCUGACGGGAGCGCAACUGACGCUGAAGCUCGAAGGUGCGGGUAUCGAACAGGAUUAGAUACCCUGGUAGUCCGCACAGUAAACGAUGGAUGCCCGCUGUUGGUACCUGGUAUCAGCGGCUAAGCGAAAGCAUUAAGCAUCCCACCUGGGGAGUACGCCGGCAACGGUG
Molecule: ribosomal RNA, 539 nt
Filed under: uncultured bacterium
Lineage: Bacteria
Description: bacterial SSU rRNA
Rfam family: Bacterial small subunit ribosomal RNA
Source: RNAcentral